This 765-nucleotide ribosomal RNA is filed under the name uncultured Staphylococcus sp. RNAcentral describes it as "bacterial SSU rRNA". It matches the Rfam family "Bacterial small subunit ribosomal RNA", at positions 1 to 756 of the family's 1533-position model. Lineage: Bacteria; Bacillati; Bacillota; Bacilli; Caryophanales; Staphylococcaceae. The record is from RNAcentral.
UGAGUUGGAUUCUGGCUCAGGAUGAACGCUGGCGGCGUGCCUAAUACAUGCAAGUCGAGCGAACAGAUAAGGAGCUUGCUCCUUUGACGUUAGCGGCGGACGGGUGAGUAACACGUGGGUAACCUACCUAUAAGACUGGGACAACUUCGGGAAACCGGAGCUAAUACCGGAUAAUAUGUUGAACCGCAUGGUUCAAUAGUGAAAGAUGGUUUUGCUAUCACUUAUAGAUGGACCCGCGCCGUAUUAGCUAGUUGGUGAGGUAACGGCUCACCAAGGCAACGAUACGUAGCCGACCUGAGAGGGUGAUCGGCCACACUGGAACUGAGACACGGUCCAGACUCCUACGGGAGGCAGCAGUAGGGAAUCUUCCGCAAUGGGCGAAAGCCUGACGGAGCAACGCCGCGUGAGUGAUGAAGGUCUUAGGAUCGUAAAACUCUGUUAUUAGGGAAGAACAAACGUGUAAGUAACUGUGCACGUCUUGACGGUACCUAAUCAGAAAGCCACGGCUAACUACGUGCCAGCAGCCGCGGUAAUACGUAGGUGGCAAGCGUUAUCCGGAAUUAUUGGGCGUAAAGCGCGCGUAGGCGGUUUUUUAAGUCUGAUGUGAAAGCCCACGGCUCAACCGUGGAGGGUCAUUGGAAACUGGAAAACUUGAGUGCAGAAGAGGAAAGUGGAAUUCCAUGUGUAGCGGUGAAAUGCGCAGAGAUAUGGAGGAACACCAGUGGCGAAGGCGACUUUCUGGUCUGUAACUGACGCUGAUUGCGA